UUUCCAGCUGUGGGCAAUAGAGAGGCCAGUGUCCAAACUCAGGCCACCUAAAGGCCACUGUUCACAUCUUCAAAGGCUAAUGGUCACCCAGCCUUCAAGAUGCCUAGGGGGAACCAGCCACCGCAGGAUCUCGACGCCACCACAGAAGGCAGCCAUUCACUCCAACACCCCCCAAAAUGCAACAAUCCAAGGCAGACCCCAGAGCACACCCCCGCAGUGACCGAACAGAAGGGGGCCACACCCCGAGGCAGAGGCCGGGUGGGGUCCGCGCGUCCGCUGACCUCCCAGUCCAAGCUCUCCUCUGCCCAGGGUUCGCGCACACGAGGCCCUCCUGCAGGCCAUCGGAUCCCAGAGCGACCCAACCCCGCGGACCCACGCAAGGGCAAGGGGACGGCCUCGGGGCGGCGUGACAAUCGGCAGCGAACGACUUCCACCACGAAGCCCGAAACCUCCACGCCGAAGCCCCCCACCCCCGAGCACCCCAACAUGGCCCGUGGCGGCAGUCAGAACUGGAGCUCCGGGGAGUCGGACGGCCAGCCAGAGGAGCAGACUUCAGAAGAGAACGGAGACAAGAUGGUGAAGGAGACCCAGUACUAUGACAUCCUGGGGGUGAAGCCCAGCGCGUCCCCGGAGGAGAUCAAGAAGGCCUAUCGGAAGCUGGCGCUCAAGUACCACCCGGACAAGAACCCGGAUGAGGGCGAGAAGUUUAAACUUAUAUCCCAGGCAUAUGAAGUACUUUCAGAUCCUAAGAAAAGAGACAUCUAUGACCAAGGUGGAGAACAGGCAAUUAAAGAAGGGGGAUCGGGCAGCCCCAGCUUCUCUUCACCCAUGGAUAUCUUUGAUAUGUUCUUUGGUGGUGGAGGACGGAUGACUAGAGAGAGAAGAGGCAAGAAUGUUGUCCACCAGCUGUCAGUAACUCUGGAAGACUUAUAUAAUGGAAUCACUAAGAAACUGGCCCUCCAGAAAAAUGUAAUUUGUGAGAAAUGUGAAGGCAUCGGUGGGAAAAAGGGGUCUGUGGAGAAGUGCCCCCUGUGCAAGGGGCGGGGGAUGCAGGUCCACAUCCAGCAGAUUGGGCCGGGCAUGGUGCAGCAGAUCCAGACUGUGUGCAUCGAGUGCAAGGGCCAGGGCGAGCGCAUCAACCCCAAGGACCGCUGUGAGAACUGCAGCGGAGCCAAGGUUACCCGAGAGAAGAAGAUCAUUGAGGUGCACGUGGAGAAAGGUAUGAAGGAUGGGCAAAAGAUACUGUUUCAUGGAGAAGGAGAUCAGGAGCCUGAGCUGGACCCUGGCGAUGUGAUAAUUGUGCUUGAUCAGAAGGAUCAUAGUGUCUUUCAGAGACGAGGCCAGGAUCUGAUCAUGAAAAUGAAAAUUCAGCUCUCUGAAGCUCUUUGUGGCUUCAAGAAGACAAUAAAAACGCUGGAUGAUCGAGUCCUUGUCAUUUCAUCUAAGUCAGGUAAGCGCCACUUCCAUGUUCCGAGUGUUCUGCUAACGGACUGUAUGCAUCGUGGCUGGCUUGCAUGGUCUCAGCAGGACACUCUGAAUAAUGACAUCAUCUUAUUCUUUUAAAGAUAUACUUUAAUUUUAAUUAUGCACAUAUGCGUGUGUCCCUGUGUGGGUGUGUGCGCUUGUGUAAAUGCACCCUUGGAGGCCAGAGGCUCUUCCUGCAGCUGGAGUCACAGGCCACCUGACAUGGGUGCUGGGAACAGACCUCUGGUCCUGAACUGCAAGAACAAUGCCUAUCCUUAAUUGCCGCGCCACCUCUUCAGCCCUAAAUGUAAUCUCUUACAGUUGACUGUUCUGUAUGUGUGUGGAGUGAGAGGACAACUUUAGAGUCUACUCUACCCUCUGCUAGCUCAGGUUUUGAGGUCGGGUAUCAGGUCUGCACAGCACGGCCUUCCCUGCCGUGCCAGCUCCUUAGCCCUGCUUGUAAGACUGCCACCUGUGACUCGAGAGUAUCAUGGACUUCUCUAAUAUCCUCCUAGACUCAAGAAUCUCUUGAGCCUGAAAUUUUAUUUGGAAUCUUCCAGCUAAGGAUAAAUGUAAACAUUUGAGUAGCGGAACGCAGCUGGCGACAGGUCUUUGCUGUCUGAGCCUUUGUAUGUGCCUCUGUUCUCUGAGCUGUUACAUGAAAACAUUUUGAAACAGGGUUUUCCUGAAGGGGAAAAGACACCAGCUGGGAGCGUGUCUCAAGAGGCUUCCACAGGCGGUCCCAGGGUCUGGGUCCGGUCUCUCAGCACAGUCACCAGGUUCGCAGCACCCAGGAAGCUGAUGUUUACAGAAGUCAUGAGUCCAUCUGGGCUCGAGAGCACCUGGCUAGAAGGGACCGAGGCAGAGGCUGGGCUAGUGACAAAGGCAGUUGUGCACAGCCAAGAUGCCUGCAUGGUGUAGAGGAAGCUAAGCUAUCUAAGUGUCCUGAGGCCGAGACACAGGCAGGGUUUACCAAUGGUGAGGGUCUGGGGGGUGGGUAAGUGGCUGAUGAGCCUGCAGCACAGGCCUUGGGAACUGAAGUCCUGUGGUCAGGUGAGCACCCGUGUCUGUGGCCAACUCUAGGACCUGCCUCUGCCCAUUCUCCCUUCCCGUCUGCUCUUCUCUUUCCAGUCUUCUCUGGCACCUUUCUCUGAUUCCUUCUCAUUUCUCCUUUGCUGGAGAUGAUAGCAAACAAGACUGCAUUUCUAAAUUGACCAGUGUAUGGUGAUUUUAAAAAUCCAAGUUCCAAACUUACAGCUGUGGAUGACAGUGUGCGCACGUAAUCCAAGCACUCAGUAGGCUGAAACCAGGGAUUUGCAAGAUUGAAGCCACCCUGGUCUAUAAAGCAAGAUGUCAUUUCAGUGGAGAUUGGGUGUGUGUAGGGCUAUGUGCGUUGGAGAUGUAGCUUAGCUGUUUGCUUAGGUUCAGUCCCCAGCACCAUAUGAACCAGGUAUGCUAGUAUGAGCCUGUAAUCAGUCUGAGGAGCUUGAGCAAGCCGGUCAAACUUACAAAAAGGCCUGAGAAAGAGACUGUCUCAGAAAAACAUAUUUCAAGCUUACAAAAGUUUGUAGAGAUAAUAUACAAAAUCCACCAAUGUGAGAUUUGCCACAGAGUGUUUUACCCCACGUGCAUGUGCUUGCGUAUAGUCAAGAUCAGGUACCUAUGAAGGUCAAACCAUGCACUGUGAUGUGCUCUGUCACGUUCUAGCGUCAGAGCUGCCUCUCUUUAGGCUCCACUCCACAGUCCCCCAGGUACCCAGUCCCUCCUGUCACUUGAGGAACAAAGUUGAAGGAUUGCACUUCACACAAGGCCUUAGGUCACCUGUUACGGACAGAACUGGGCCUGGUGGUGUGUCUCAGUCCCCAAACGUCCUCAUAUCCCAGAUCGUAGCCUUUGUGAGAGCCAAGAGUGGCAGCAUUUGUGUGACUUCUUUGGAAAAGCCCAUCCUUGGCUAAGGGUGGAUAAUGAGGGCAGGUCAUCCUGGCAGGGUUCCCUGGGUGGGGCCUGUUGCAGGAGGGGCCCUUGCUACCUUCCCUGACCCCAGCCUCGGGGAAGCUGGGAGUUAAGGACAGAAGUGGGGCGCAUGAGGAAGAGGCCCCUGAGGGACGGAAAAGAAACCCUUAGAACCCCACUUCUGUUUAGGUGGGGGAGAAGGCAGGGCAUCCAGAAAACCUGCUCAGAUUCCUUCCUAGUAUCUGGUGGGUGAGCGUGCAUGCGUGCGCACACACACACACACACACACACACACACACACACACACACACACACACCCUUCCCUUUCUUCCUUUUCUAUUAGUUUAUCUUUCAUUUUUCUCUCUCUUUCCUUUAUUGCUGAGCUACCUACCUUGCCAGAACCACUUAACUCUUGAGGAACUGUGGUUGUUGAAAGCAGGGGUUUGCCUUUGGCAGAGGUGAGGUGAUAAAGCAUGGGGACCUGAAGUGUAUCCGCAACGAGGGGAUGCCCAUCUACAAAGCCCCCCUGGAGAAGGGGGUGAUGAUCAUACAGUUUUUAGUAGUCUUCCCUGAAAAACAGUGGCUCUCUCAGGAGAAGCUUCCUCAGCUGGAGGCUCUGCUUCCCCCUCGGCAGAAGGUGAGGAUCACAGAUGACAUGGAUCAGGUGGAGUUGAAGGAGUUCAAUCCCAACGAGCAGAGCUGGCGCCAGCACAGGGAGGCCUAUGAGGAAGAUGACGAAGAGCCCCGCGCUGGCGUGCAGUGCCAGACGGCAUGAUGGUGCGGUGUGGCCUGGCCUGGUUGGACUCUAGUACAUGAUGAAUGUAAACUUGGCACAAUGAAAAUGGCAUCGCUUUAAUAGCCUCACGUUUGGGGUGUCCCGUGUAUGUGUUCAGCAGUCUCCACUGCUGAGUAUCUCUUGGGUUUUCUUGUUUCUCUUCUAGUUGUAACUUAAGUUAUAGCUUGAUUUAUAUUUAAAUGUUUUAAGUUCAAUCCCCUCUAGUCUGCAUAUGGAAUCUGUUUCAUUUGUACUUUCAGGACUUAUUUUGGAGAUGCCAGUACCACACUGACCUUUUGUGCUUCUUAGUGGCUUCGCCAUGGUUCGUUCCCACAGUAGGCCCAGAGGACCACUCUUGGCCCCUAACAAAGGCCCAGAAGGUGGGUGUCUGGCCCAUCUCUAGUCUGUGGUUUUUCUCCCCUUCCUCCCUUGGCAGAGUCACCAAGGGUAUGAGCUCAGGUCUGGUAGUAACAUUUCUGAAUCUAGACUCUAGAACUCUUAAGAUAGUAAAAGUCCACAUAUGGCUUGCAGUAGGCCCAGCAUGCCUGGUUCAUACAGAGUAGGCUGGACUCAAAAGCUGCAGAGACAGUCUAGGGCAUAAUGUUCUUUCCCCUUGACUGGUUAGAAAGGGGGUUGUUUGAACAUCUCUUUUGGAAGUUUUCUGAACUUCCCAAGCCUUGUGAUGACAAGCCCAUUUUAAAUAAGCCAAUAAAGCCAUUUGCCUGUAACCCCAUACCUUGUUCUUUGUGCUCUUAAUGAUCAUCUAUUGACGACCUUUGCAGUGUUGUCCCACCAAAGUGCUUUCUUUCCCUAAGGAAAGCUAAGCCCUUCAUAUGUAUCCCUGGCAGCCCUGACCAGCUGCAGAAACAACCAAAGGGGAGUGCUGGUGGCUUAGUUCCCAGCACACCAGCUUAACGUCUUAAGGGUGUGCAAUGGCACAGACCCCUCAGUAUUAUCUCCUUCCUAAAGGCCCGUCAUUCUCACUGUACAGCCAUACUGCAAAGGGCUUUCUGCUUGUGAUGUGUGGUGAGAACUGGCCCAACCAGGUUCUAGUUGGCUGGCAAUGACAGCUGCUUGGGAAUGUGUUCUAGUUACUACUUUAUUCCUGGCAAGUAGACUGCACUUUAAAUAAAGGCUACCUCAGCCUCUAGCCGUAACCUCUCCCUUCUUUUCUACAAAUGAAGUUAAAAACCCUGCUUUAUAAGCUGCUGGGAUAACCUGUCAGAUCCAUCCUUACUUGGUUUUUAUGGUACCAGACUUUGACACAGACCAGGAACCUCUCCUGGGGGCGGUCAAAGGGCAGAUGAGACCUGUGGCUGGUCAAGUAAGCCAGCUAGCAGGACCAGGCUCCUGAAGAACACUGCUGGCUAGUAAAACAUACGUUUUCAAAGUACAGUGCUCACUUUGACCACAGGCCAUGACAGACUUAAAACUGCUUCCUCCAAUUAAUAAGUGGACCACAACUCCAGGGUGGUGUUUCUGUGCUGUGACUUACAAAUAAAUCACUGUUGGAGAGCUACUACUUAGCUUGUGUAGGAUAAAACUAGACUCAGCUCUUUGUUAUGAAUCUACAGAGUGUUGCUUAACUGUCCCACCUGUACACUUUCCACUUUAAAAUUAAAAUUGAACUGGUAUGAGA
Mus musculus (house mouse) is the source of this 5831-nucleotide RNA transcript. It is a transcript of the gene named DnaJ heat shock protein family (Hsp40) member A4, with no coding region annotated. NCBI's taxonomy places the organism in Eukaryota, Metazoa, Chordata, Mammalia, Rodentia, Muridae. The record is from RefSeq and is marked validated. The transcript has 8 exons.